UACGUAGGGGGCAAGCGUUGUCCGGAUUUAUUGGGCGUAAAGAGCGUGUAGGCGGCCAAACAGGUCAGCUGUGAAAACUCGAGGCUCAACCUCGAGACGUCGGUUGAAACCGUUUGGCUAGAGUCCGGAAGAGGAGAGUGGAAUUCCCGGUGUAGCGGUGAAAUGCGCAGAUAUCAGGAGGAACACCGAUGGCGAAGGCAGGUCUCUGGGCAUUAACUGACGCUGAGGAGCGAAAGCGUGGGGAGCGAACAGG
RNAcentral lists this ribosomal RNA (253 nucleotides) under uncultured bacterium. Its description in RNAcentral is "partial 16S ribosomal RNA". It matches the Rfam family "Bacterial small subunit ribosomal RNA", at positions 524 to 776 of the family's 1533-position model. The record is from RNAcentral.